Rhinopithecus roxellana (golden snub-nosed monkey) is the source of this 740-nucleotide long non-coding RNA. RefSeq lists it as uncharacterized. NCBI's taxonomy places the organism in Eukaryota, Metazoa, Chordata, Mammalia, Primates, Cercopithecidae. The transcript is spliced from 3 exons. The record is from RefSeq and is a predicted model, not a curated record.
CCAAUCAGCUAUUAGUCAAUGUCGACAACUGACACUUACUUGUAUAUUCUGCUAAGUGACUUAACAAAUAGGUUCAUUCACCAAACACGUUAGGAAACUCUAAAAAGAAUAGGAAGUAUAUCAGAUUCUUGAGUUAUACGGCUCACUCCACUUGAAUCCAGUGGUUGGUUUACAGCAAGCACCAGGUAGUGAUGUUCCUAAUGCCGUCUCAACAUCGCCACCUGCUGCUCAUUCCAGGUCCAAACAUUCGUAUCUCUAGUCACAGGCUGCGAGACACUUCCUCUGGGUGAGAAACAUUCCUGAACCUUGGGUACUCAUCAAACCCUAGUAGAACUAAAGGUAAUCAAUUGCACUCCUGAAGCCACUGGACAAAGGCAGUGGGGGAACUGUUGGCAAUGUGGGCAAUUAAGUGAUAAUUAUAUUUUACUGAAUUUCACAAAUUUUGUAAGUUUUGUUCUCUAUUUUCCAGCAUUUAGAACAAUGCCUGACACAUAGCAGCGACUCAGUAAAUAUAUACUAAAUACGUGAAUAUCCAAGGAGAAGGUGCUAACAUCCAGAUUUGCAUGUGCUGGGAGAGAAAGUUCUUCAUGGAUCUCUUGUGCUCCUACACAUCUCACAGGCAUUGUGCUAAGAACUGUUACAUAUGGCCAGUUGUGGUGACUCACGCCUGUUAUCCCUGCACUUUGGGAGGAUGAGGAGGGCAGGUCACUUGAGGUGAGGAGUUCGAGACCAGCCUGGCC